This 492-nucleotide ribosomal RNA is filed under the name uncultured bacterium. RNAcentral's name for it is "partial 16S ribosomal RNA". It matches the Rfam family "Bacterial small subunit ribosomal RNA", at positions 29 to 507 of the family's 1533-position model. The record is from RNAcentral.
AGUGGACGCUGGCGGUAGGCCUAACACAUGCAAGUCGAACGGCAGCACAGUAUGAGCUUGCUCUUACGGGUGGCGAGUGGCGGACGGGUGAGGAAUACAUCGGAAUCUACUUUUUCGUGGGGGAUAACGUAGGGAAACUUACGCUAAUACCGCAUACGACCUACGGGUGAAAGCAGGGGAUCUUCGGACCUUGCGCGAUUGAAUGAGCCGAUGUCGGAUUAGCUAGUUGGCGGGGUAAAGGCCCACCAAGGCGACGAUCCGUAGCUGGUCUGAGAGGAUGAUCAGCCACACUGGAACUGAGACACGGUCCAGACUCCUACGGGAGGCAGCAGUGGGGAAUAUUGGACAAUGGGCGCAAGCCUGAUCCAGCCAUACCGCGUGGGUGAGGAAGGCCUUCGGGUUGUAAAGCCCUUUUGUUGGGAAAGAAAAGCAGCAGGUUAAUACCCCGCUGUUCUGACGGUACCCAAAGAAUAAGCACCGGCUAACUUCGUG